CACGGCCAAAACCGGCAGAGCUCUGCGCGGCGCCACCACCCACACACUCCCACCCAGCACCCACCCAAGCACCCCCGGCGCCACCACCGCACCACCACGCCUGCUCUGCCCGCCGCGCUACGGACUUCCCUUCCCAGCGACCCCCGGGAGAGACCACCGCCCCCGCUACCACCACGCGGAAGCCAGGCGAAGCAGCUAGCAGCACCGCCGCCGCGGGUCAAUCUCGCUCCCUCCCGUUCCGUCGUUCCCUAGCAUGGUAUCUGCCAACGCGCCGCCUCCGCAGCUGGCCGAGGCGGGCGACGACGCCAGCAAGAAGGUGCGCAAGCCCUACACCAUCACCAAGUCGCGGGAGAGCUGGACGGAGCAGGAGCACGACAAGUUCCUCGAGGCCCUCCAGCUCUUUGAUCGUGACUGGAAAAAGAUAGAAGCUUUUGUUGGUUCGAAGACUGUCAUCCAGAUAAGGAGCCAUGCGCAGAAGUAUUUUUUGAAGGUUCAGAAAAAUGGAACAAGUGAGCAUGUCCCACCUCCACGACCAAAGCGUAAAGCUGCUCAUCCAUACCCUCAGAAGGCCUCCAAAAAUGAACCAGGAUAUACCCUGAAGACAGAUGCAUCUUCCAUGCUUAGGAACUCAGGAAUGAAUGUGGCUGUUUCUUCAUGGACCCACAAUUCCAUCCCACCAGUUGUUGCCUCAUCUUUGGUUAAAGAAGAUUUAGGUGCUGGAUCUAUGGGCCCAAACAUCUUUUGCUCAAGCAGUAGUGAAGGUCCUCCAAGGGCAUGGCAACCUGGUGAAACCAAUGAUCAGAUAAAUCAAGUUCCAUCACUCCACACUAAGCCGGAUUUUGCACAAGUAUACAGCUUCUUAGGCAGCGUUUUCGAUCCAAGCACAAAUGGUCAUUUGCAGAAACUUAAGGAGAUGAAUCCAAUUGAUUUUGAGACGGCAUUGCUGUUGAUGAGAAAUCUCUCCAUCAAUUUGACUAGUCCUGAUUUUGAAGAUCAAGGUUUGCCCAGUUGCCCAUGGUUUCUGGUACUGUCAGUACAACUGCUGCCACUGUGCAGAACGACUGGAAUAUUUGGGCAGCCAUCAUGUGUGUAAAGUAAUCAUGUUUUUGCAAACUUUCAAAAUUAUCAGAAAUUUGGUAUGUACUGAUACCCAGUUCUUAUCAAAAUAAAAAAAGGUCAAUUCCAAAAUUGUUUUGUUUUACAUUAGAUAGUCUUCAGGGGGCUGUUAAAAAAAAGAGAUAGUCUCAGGGGGGCAAAUGAAUUUUAAGCAUGUUUGGCUUGUUGAGUAAUGUAACACUGGGAAGUAGGAUGUGCUUUGCACUGCUACUCAACUCUGGCAUUCUGUACAGUUCCAUUACCUAUUCAGACUAACGUGUAUUCAUCUAAAAAAGAAACUAACUUGUAUUUGAUUCAACUUAUACAGAGGAAGUUGCUGUCUUCAUACAAUUCUGCAUCUGAUGGGCUUGAGCUAGGGAGCUCCAGAAGCUCACUUCUAGCUGAUAGUGCAUUGAGCCUUUUUUGAUAGUUCACGAUUAAAGAAGAAUGGUGGUGCCUAUAAUUUCAGCUUGAUCUCUGAAUAGGGGUUUUUCCUGGAGCACCGAUGAAAGUGCUUGCACCAUUGUAUUUCUAGCUAGCUUCGAACAGUAGAAUGUGUAAGGGUGCAAAAGUGUACAGUAGGCUUCCGUAAGGUGAGAUCUGUCUAUAGCCUGGUGUGUAUAUAUUUUCGCCCCGAAGCGUGUAUUUUCCCUACACUUAGGUGCUCGAACUUUCUUCAGUUAUAAGGCUUAGCAAUGCUGCUCUUAGUAAUAGAACAUGUGAAGAAAAUUUUGAGUAAUGCUGGUUCCUCACUUUUCUGUCCAUUGAGUUCAGUUGGCGAUAUCGUUCUGUUAUCUGGCAAGACACUGCUCGUUGUGGCCAUGAUGUAACCAAUAGUACUCCAUCUGUCGUCUGUUGAGCAUACAAAUUUGUAAGUUGUUUCAGUUGAGGUUAUCGAAAAUGUGGCUUGUUUUCCCCA
Molecule: RNA transcript, 2014 nt
Organism: Brachypodium distachyon (stiff brome)
Lineage: Eukaryota; Viridiplantae; Streptophyta; Magnoliopsida; Poales; Poaceae
Gene name: protein REVEILLE 6
Exons: 9
Source: RefSeq, a predicted model, not a curated record